AACGAACGCUGGCGGCAUGCCUAACACAUGCAAGUCGAACGAGACCUUCGGGUCUAUUGGCGCACGGGUGCGUAACGCGUGGGAACCUGCCCUUAGGUUCGGAAUAACUCCCCGAAAGGGGUGCUAAUACCGGAUAAUGUCUUCGGACCAAAGAUGUAUCGCCUUUGGAUGGGCCCGCGUUGGAUUAGCUGGUUGGUAGGGUAAAAGCCUACCAAGGCGACGAUCCAUAGCUGGUCUGAGAGGAUGAUCAGCCACACUGGGACUGAGACACGGCCCAGACUCCUACGGGAGGGAGCAGUGGUGAAUAUUGGACAAUGGGCGAAAGCCUGAUCCAGCAAGGCCGCGUGAGUGAUGAAGGCCUUAGGGUUGUAAAGCUCUUUUACCCGGGAUGAUAAUGACAGUACCGGGAGAAUAAGCUCCGGCUAACUCCGU
Molecule: ribosomal RNA, 432 nt
Filed under: uncultured bacterium
Lineage: Bacteria
Description: partial 16S ribosomal RNA
Rfam family: Bacterial small subunit ribosomal RNA
Source: RNAcentral